GUGGGGAAUCUUAGACAAUGGGGGAAACCCUGAUCUAGCCAUGCCGCGUGAGCGAUGAAGGCCUUAGGGUUGUAAAGCUCUUUCAGCUGGGAAGAUAAUGACGGUACCAGCAGAAGAAGCCCCGGCUAACUCCGUGCCAGCAGCCGCGGUAAUACGGAGGGGGCUAGCGUUGUUCGGAAUUACUGGGCGUAAAGCGCACGUAGGCGGAUCAGAAAGUCAGAGGUGAAAUCCCAGGGCUCAACCUUGGAACUGCCUUUGAAACUCCUGGUCUUGAGGUCGAGAGAGGUGAGUGGAAUUCCGAGUGUAGAGGUGAAAUUCGUAGAUAUUCGGAGGAACACCAGUGGCGAAGGCGGCUCACUGACUCGAUACUGACGCUGAGGUGCGAAAGCGUGGGGAGCAAACAGGAUUAGAAACCCUGGUAGUCC
This 425-nucleotide ribosomal RNA is filed under the name uncultured bacterium. Its description in RNAcentral is "partial 16S ribosomal RNA". It matches the Rfam family "Bacterial small subunit ribosomal RNA", at positions 354 to 796 of the family's 1533-position model. The record is from RNAcentral.